Molecule: ribosomal RNA, 371 nt
Filed under: uncultured alga
Lineage: Eukaryota
Description: bacterial LSU rRNA
Rfam family: Bacterial large subunit ribosomal RNA
Source: RNAcentral
GCUUUACUGUAUCCUGGAAUUGGGUUCGGGCUUUUCUUGCGCAGCCUAGGUGGGGAGGCAUUGAAGAUUUCUUUCCGGGAAGUUUGGAGCCAUCAUUGAGGAGACCACUCUGGAGAGGCUAGAAUCCUAAUGGUGAUCCUUGAAUCAGGACACUUGACAGUUUCAGGUGGGCAGUUUUUCUGGGGCGGAAACCUCAUAAAAGGUAACUGAGGCGCGCAAAGGUUCCCUCAGUCUGGACGGAAAUCAGACAACGAGUGUAAAGGCAAAGGGGAGCUUGACUGCAAGACCCACAAGUCGAGCAGGAGCGAAAGCUGGCCUUAGUGAUCCGACGGUGCCGUGUGGAAGGGCCGUCGCUCAACGAAUAAAAGUUA